This is a non-coding RNA of Chelonoidis abingdonii (Abingdon island giant tortoise), 101 nucleotides long. The record is from RefSeq and is a predicted model, not a curated record. Lineage: Eukaryota; Metazoa; Chordata; Testudines; Testudinidae.
CUUGGUGAAGGACAAGCAGAGGAGCGGGUUCCCGCAACCUUGAGUUCUCAGCUGCCCAUGUUAUCAACAGCUCAGACUCCAUAACCUCUGGAAGAAGUCAC